GAGCCAGGACCGGGACGAGGGUCACAAGCAGGAGCAGGACCAGCGCCAGGACUCGGCGAGAGCCAGCUUCAGGACCCGGACCAGGACCAGGGACAAGCUCGCGGCCGCGACCUGCGCCUCCGCGCGGCACUUCCGCCCUGACCCGCCCACGUGACAGCCCGCCCGCGCGGGCCUCCCUGCCCACGUGACACCAGCAGCCCCGCCCACCGAGGAGGGUGGGGACGGUUUCCGCGGCAACCGCUGCGGCGUCUUCCGCCUUCCUCCCCGCUCAACGGCGAGGGGUGAGCGGCACACGACGGCGCGUCGGGGGAAGGCGAAGCCGGGGUCUGCCCUGCCGUGGACACCUGCAAGAGCCUAGUGAUCAUUCAGUAUCUGAAGUGAAGGGAUCUAGCAUACCACCAGCUGGUGAACUGUCUGAGGACCCAACACCUACAGUUGAAUCCCCACCAUCACUGGAUGACCCACCUGGAAUUGAAACACCAGCAUCUGCUACCCAGCCAUCUGUAGUGGAAUUGCCAGUGUCUGCAGCCCAGCUGAUUGUUGAGAACCAUCGAGUUCUGAGGACCAGAUACCUGUUGUUAAGUUUCCUGCAUCCAGGAAAAACUCACGUAAGAUAGGAUUACUUGUGGGUGAACCGCCAGAUUUCAAAGUCAAGAUGUACACAUCUGAUUCCACGCAGGCUGGUGAUAAAAUACCUGAGGCUGGGUCGUCAGCAACUGUAGCCAAGCCAACAGAGGCUACAUGUGAAACAUCGGAGCAGCCAAUGGUAUAUGAAGACCCCUUUGAAGUCUCCAUUAAUUACAUGGAGAAACAUAAUAUUCUGCAAAUUUUUCAGGAGAUCACAGAAAAAUUGGUGUACCAGAAGCCUGAUGACCCCUUGCAGUUCAUAUUGCUGCAGGUGCAGUCUAUGAUAAAUGCCAGGCAGGCAAAAAUGGAGGGAAUAUUACAGGAGAAUGAAGACACAGAGGUGUUUCUGAAAGAGGUCCCAAGCACUCCUUUUGUCCCCUACGCACCUUGAAAUUGUGGUAUUAAAUGGAGACUCCACAGCACCAUGCUUUUGUAAUGAUUGGAAGUAACUCGGAAUAGGUUUGCCUGUAUCUCCAUUUCCUGUAUUUUUCUGUUCUGAAUGCUUGUACUUCCCCUUGGGUUUAAAUCCUGUGGCCAAGUAUUGGUUUGAAGCACAAACUCAAAUCUUAAAGGGUACAUGGACCUGCAUGCACGUGGCACAUCUUGAAGAGGAAGAUAUGCUUAACUUCUAUGCAGCCUCUUCACACAAAUGCAUAAAUCCCACAUUUAGACCACGCCUAGACUCUGCUUUCCUGCGCAGAGAAACCUCACAUCUCAGACAAUGCAAGCACAAAAGCAAGUAGAAUUAAAAAGCAGCCCUGGACAACCCACAGUCCUCUCUUUGUUUCACGCUGUAUUUACAGCUUAUUAUCUCCAGCAAUGCAGCAUCACCAAUGCCUAUCUAAUAAUUUGAGAGGCUGGAUCUGUGGCUUUCCUGCUGCACCCAGGGCCUCUUUGAUGCAAGAAGCAGCCUCUCUGCCUCUUCCACACACCGAGCACAUCUGUCUCACCCAUAACCAUCCCUGCUGGAUUCCAAUCACUCUGUUUUUUGGGGUUGACCUGCUAGUAUCAUUGCAACUGCAGUGUAUAUUUUGAUAAACAGAACAGUAAAGCAACAAUUGCAUGCGCCCACUGUUGCUUCAGAAGACUUUGGCGCUCAGGAAUGUGGGAGAUGAAUAAAACUAACCAAACCCGAGCAUGGGUAGCCCAGGGAAUUCAGAGUCAAGUUCCACUUUGCAAACACAUCAUUUGAACUGCUUUUGAUUCUCAAAACACUUCUUACAAUCCUCAUUUUUGUUCUAUCCAAAUGUCUGUUUCCACCCUGUAACGAAACUUUGUGGGUUUUUUUGUUUUUUUUGUUUUUUUUUUUUUUUUGGUCUCUUGCCUGAAGAUUAUUGAAAAUGUGCAACAGAGCGUACUGUUUUUUUGGCUUCAUUUAACAUGUAUGUUCAGUAGAUGCCAGAAAGUUUUUUUUGUCACUACAGAUUUUCUCUUUUUUAGGCAAGUGCUCUAAUUUCAUGACCGGUGGUAGUGUAUUCCCAAAUGACUGUUUCUGUGCCUGUGAAGAGAGGACCAUAGAAACUUAUCUUUCAUCUAUCUAUUUUCAGCUAAAAGUCUGAUGAUAAGGUUGCGUGGUAAUGUACAGCAGAGCUUGGGCCCAAAAAGUCUGGGAAUAACAGAGGCAAGUAUUUGGCAUACUAAUUCUGUGUUUGAGAAGAGUUGCCUUUCUAGCUAAGGUCUUUAAAAAGGACCAGUUAACUCAUGUGUUUCCAGGUUAAAGGCAGGUAAGCAGCCCUGUCAUUCAUAGGGCAGGAAAGUUUUCAAGGUCAUUUUGAUUCAAAAGAUGGCUCAAGAUUCAGAUAAAAUCUUCAUGGGUUUUAUAGGAGAUUUGAUGUAGACAUAGGCAUCUAGGUCCCACUGAAGCAGUGAGGUGCUUUUGAAAGCCCUACUUAUCUUCAGCAACUGGAAGAACUGGACACCUAAUGAAACAGAGAGACUGAUUGUUUUUCAGCCCGAUGUGUUUUUGGUCAAGAAUUUAUAAACAGCCCUGUGCAUAUGUGUCCUGUGAAUGUAAGGGAAGUGCUAACACACCUCUGUAAAACAGGAACUGCAUGGAAGAUGAAGAUAGUGGCUGAAGCCUUUUCAUCUCUAUAAUAGUCACUUGUCAGCAUGCUUUCCCAAAAGAUGGAGAAGUUGGCAUGUCUUUGAAUUUUGUUGUAAGACAGGACUAGGGUGCUUUGGGGUACAGCCUUAACUGUGAAUUUCCUGCUUCUGACAUUUGUGUAUUGUAUUUUGUUGUUCUCUUUUAUUUAUGAAAAACUUCUGGCUUAUAAUAUGUUCUUGGACUAAAGGUGUGUGCCCCCAAUUUCUUGUCAGCAUUUAGGGAGUUAUGCAAAGAAAAGUCCUUGAUUCCUCUUUCAGAUAAGUUGAGGUGAGCUAGAAAGUAGUCUUACAGAUGACAGAAGUUUUACAAAAGAGGCCCUAACCUGUGUUCCUUGGCAAUCUCAGGGUCAAAAUUUUCUUUUGGUGACCUGUCCACCUUGUCUUAUGAUAAUGAAAUUGCUUUGUGGUAGCAAGAAGUUCUCUCCAGUGCACGUAGAAGGGAGCAGCUGUCUUUUCUAUUUCUCAGGACUGAGGGCCCUCUCCUUUGAGGAGCAGCAGUUGUACAGAACUGAAUGAGGCUGUAUUCAGGACAGCAGUGUGGACCUGGAGUUGGCAUGUGUAGGUAGCAAGAGUCUGCAAUAGGCUAAGGAUGAUUAUUCAGCUUUCACAAUACUAGUGGUCAGUAGACCAGCUCUGAGCAAGGGCUUUGAGAAGAAAUCUUGGGGAACUCAUCAUGAGAUGAGGAGAAAUUUCACUUCUUUCUCCUCAGGCCUCUCAGAUUAUUAGAUUAUGUUUUGAACUGCAUUUUUUUUAAAAGAAAAAUACCCAGGUUAUUAGUUUUAUGAAAACAAAAUAACAUCCUCCAGAAGGUGUGCAGAUUAUUUUGUUUAAGCUAGUGACACACAGCUGUCCUUUUAUAUUUUCUUCAGAGUUUUGCUGAAAGAUACACAGCUCUAGAAAAAUUCUACCACACAUUAAGGCACUAAUGCACCACUGCUGUUUCUGUGUAGGAAGGCUUUUCUGUGGUGAAGAAAGGGAGAAAAGUUAGACUUAAAAUGGAAGUAUUUAUUUCAGUCUUGAUUCCAGAGUGACCGUCCUUUUUCCAUAUUUUUUUCCCAAACUAUUAGAUCCAUGUUUCUUCUUCAUAAGUGGGCAUUUAUCAACAUGACAUUAAACUGUCAUUAAAUUUCUUGCCUUGGGUGCUCUGUAGGAAUUAACAGUUCAUUGUGUGUAACCAAAACUAUUCCAUAUAAGUCCUUAUAGCAUGCUUGUCACAGUAUAUUUGAACACCCUCCAGUAGUGUGCUAAGCAACGUGACUAACAUCUGUUGUUUGUUCUUUCUUCUCUCCAUGAGGGAGAUGUCUGUGCACUGAAGUGCAUUCUUUUUAAGAGGGUGUUUUGUUUUUGUUACCCACACCUGUGUAUUGCUGUGUGCUUUUAACAGAUAAGGAUAAGUCAUGGAGUAGAAGGUGGGGAGCUUGAAGGUAGUUUGCAGUUCCCAAGGGUGUUUCCUCUGUGGUUUGAGCUGGGCACAGAGAAAGCAAAGUAUUUUCACAGACAAGAUUUUUGGUUGAUUCAUGGACUGGCACAGAAGCAUGACAUCCAGUUCAGCUGCCAAAUAGCAUGAACUUAUCGUGUACAGGCCAUUUCUGUUGCAUGAACCUUGUACUCCUCCAGAAGCAGAAUGUGGAGGAGCCAACCAGGGAAGUGUACUCAUUGUGAAAUAAGUGACUCGGAUCAAAAUAUCAAUUUCUUUUUCUGCCACCUUUGUACGGAAGUUAAAAUUACUCAGAUGCCCCAACAAAUACUAAAGUUGCCUGGGUUCUGCCUUUAACUCUUAAAAAGAAACAACAAACAAAUAAUGUCGUAACUGCUGAUUAAAGAUCCUUGGAAAAGUUCACACAGAGACUGCUCUGCUUCUUAGUGAGGUGGAGGGUGCAAGCGUGAUCACUUUUCAAUGGCCAGGUACUUAUAGCAUGAGAACAUUUCAUUGUGACUCACUGGGUAUUAAUCAUUACUACGUAACACCAAUUUUAAGCUAGUUUAAAGCCAUUGAUUUCAAAGUUUCACAAUCGUGUGAAACUUAAAGUACACAGCAGUAGCUAUUCAGGAUUUGCAUGUUUU
Long non-coding RNA from Cuculus canorus (common cuckoo), 4794 nucleotides. RefSeq lists it as uncharacterized. The transcript has 4 exons. The record is from RefSeq and is a predicted model, not a curated record. Lineage: Eukaryota; Metazoa; Chordata; Aves; Cuculiformes; Cuculidae.